CGGAUGAAGAGAGCUUGCUCUCUGGAUUCAGCGGCGGACGGGUGAGUAACACGUGGGCAACCUGCCUGUAAGACUGGGAUAACUCCGGGAAACCGGGGCUAAUACCGGAUAACUUCUUUUCCCGCAUGGGGAGAGGUUGAAAGACGGUUAUGCUGUCACUUACAGAUGGGCCCGCGGCGCAUUAGCUAGUUGGUGGGGUAACGGCCUACCAAGGCGACGAUGCGUAGCCGACCUGAGAGGGUGAUCGGCCACACUGGGACUGAGACACGGCCCAGACUCCUACGGGAGGCAGCAGUAGGGAAUCUUCCGCAAUGGACGAAAGUCUGACGGAGCAACGCCGCGUGAGUGACGAAGGCCUUCGGGUCGUAAAACUCUGUUAUCAGGGAAGAACAAGCAUCGUUUAACUGACGGUGCCAUGACGGUACCUGACCAGAAAGCCACGGCUAACUACGUGCCAGCAGCCGCGGUAAUACGUAGGUGGCAAGCGUUGUCCGGAAUUAUUGGGCGUAAAGCGCGCGCAGGCGGCUUCUUAAGUCUGAUGUGAAAGCCCACGGCUCAACCGUGGAGGGUCAUUGGAAACUGGGAGGCUUGAGUGCAGAAG
RNAcentral lists this ribosomal RNA (601 nucleotides) under Bacillus subtilis. RNAcentral's name for it is "bacterial SSU rRNA". It matches the Rfam family "Bacterial small subunit ribosomal RNA", at positions 67 to 654 of the family's 1533-position model. Lineage: Bacteria; Bacillati; Bacillota; Bacilli; Caryophanales; Bacillaceae. The record is from RNAcentral.